GGUUCGAUUAUGGCUCAGAUUGAACGCUGGCGGGAUGCUUUUUACACAUGCAAGUCGGGCACGGACUUCGGUCUGGUGGCGAGUGGCGAACAGGUGAGUAAUGUAUCGGAACGUGCCUAGUAGCGGGGGAUAACUACGCGAAAGCGUAGCUAAUGCCGCAUACCGCCCUUCGGGGGAAAGCGGGGACCUUCGGGCCUCGCACUAUUGAAGCGACCGAUAUCGGAUUAGCUAGUUGGUGGGGUAACGGCUCACCAAGGCGACGAUCCGUAGCUGGUUUUGAGGACGACCAGCCACACUGGGACUGAGACGCGACUGAACUCCUACGGGGAGGCAGCAGUGGGGAAUUUUGGACAAUGGGGGAAACCUGAUCCAGCCAUCCCGUGUGCGAUGAAGGCCUUCGGGUUGUAAAGCACUUUUGGCGGAAAGAAACGGCACGGGAUAAUGCCCGUGCAACUGACGACACCUGCAGAAUAAGCACCGGCUAACUACGUGCCAGCAGCCGCGGUAAUACGUGAGGUGCAACGUUAAUCGGAAUUACUGGGCAAGCGUGCCAGGCGGUUCGGAAAGAAGAUGUGAAAUCCCAGAGCUUAACUUUGAACUGCAUUUUUAACUACCGAGCUAGAGUGUGUCAGAGGAGGUGGAGUGCAUGUAGCAGUGAAAUGCGUAGAUAUGGAGGAACACCGAUGGCGAAGGCAGCCUCCUGGGAUAACACUGACGCUCAUGCCACGAAAGCGUGGGAGCAAACAGGAUUAGAUACCUGGUAGUCAUACUAAACGAUAUCGCGCUUCGCUGUUGGGGCCUUCGGGCCUGGUAGCGCAACUAACGUGAAGUUGACCGCCUGGGGAAGUACGGUCGCAAGAUUAAAGCUCAAAGGAAUUGACGGGGACGCACAAGCAGUGGAUGAUGUGGAUUAAUUCGAUGCAACGCGAAAAACCUUACCUACCCUUGACAUGUCUGGAAUCCCGAAGAGAUUUGGGAGUGCUCGCAAGAGAACCGGAACACAGGUGCUGCAUGGCUGUCGUCAGCUCGUGUCGUGAGAUGUUAGGUUAAGUCCCGCAACGAGCGCAACCCUUGUCAUUAGUUGCUACGAAAGGGCACUCUAAUGAGACUGCCGGUGACAAACCGGAGGAAGGUGAGGAUGACGUCAAGUCCUCAUGGCCCUUAUGGGUAGGGCUUCACACGUCAUACAAUGGUGCAUGGGACAGAGGGUCGCCAACCCGCGAGGGGGGAGCCAAUCGGCUUGAUCGUAGUCCGGAUCGCAGUCUGCAACUCGACUGCGUGAAGUCAAGAUCGCCGGUAAUCGCGGAUCAGCAUGUCGCGGUGAACCGUUCCCGGGUCUUGUACACACCGCCCGUCACACCAUGGGAGUGGGUUUUUACCAGAAGUAGUUAGCCUAACCGUAAGGAGGGCGAUUACCACGGUAAAGUUGUGACUGGGGUGGAAAGUCAUGCUAAGGUAGCCCUGUUACUACCUGGGAGCAUCAGGCGGCCAACAGGGCUGCGCUGUUACGACUUCACCCCGGUAUGGAUCUGCCGUGGUAAUCGCCUCGCUACAGUUAGGCCACUCUGGUAAAACUACACAUGGUGUGGCGGCGGUGUAUUAUUUUUAAGACCGGGUUUGUGUUCACCACGUGUCUUUGAUCCUCGAUACUAGCGUCCGGCUUUUUCAUGGUCGGUGCAAUUUGAUCGGAACUCGGUCUGUGGUUUCUGGGUUGGCUCCCCCCUCACUUGGGUUAACGACGUUUUCUGUCCCGACCGUGGCGAUGUAACCCUACCCAUAAAGGAGCGGGAGCGACGUCAUCCCCCACCUUCACCGGUUUGUGCACCGGCAGUCGACAGAGUGCCUUUCGUAACGUAAUGAUGGGGUGCGCUCGUGCGGGCGCAACCCGGCAUCUCGACUGGCUGACAUUGCCGGGGCCUGGCGGCGCUCCCCCAGAUGCCGGCACAGGGAUUCCGGUAUGUCUGGGGGUAGGUAAGGUUUCGCGUUGCGGCGCAUCAUCCACCCGCUGACGCGGAUCCCGCAAUCGCUGCGGCCGUACUCCCAGGCGGUGACUUCGCGUUAGCUGCGCUACCCGGACUACAGCAGCAGUUGACAUCGUUUAAGGAUUUACCGGAAUUAAUCAUUUCGUGCGACGUGGUGUUCAUCCCCGGGGCGCCUUCGCCAUCGGUGGCCCUCCGCUAUCCCGCACCGCGCGCGCGCGCCCCGCGCCCCUCCCCCUCUCGCGACACGCGAAUUCUUUUCGGUAGUUAAAAAUGCGGAUUUCUCUGGGAUUUCGCAUCUUUCUUUCCGAACCGCCUGCGCGCACCCGCCCAAUAACUCCGAUAACGCGCCCCGCCAUAUUACCGCAGCUCCUUAUUUAUGUAGCAGGCUCAAGGCGCUAAAUUACACGGAGUAUUAGCGAUCCCGUGCCAUUCUUUCUAUAAAAAUUGAGGCUUCAUCACACGCGAAACAACAGAUCGAGGUUUCCCCAUGACCCGCUCUUCCCGUAAAUUCUGGGCCGUCUCGAUCUGGUGUGGCUGGUGUCCUUCAAACGGAUCGUCGCCUUGGUGGUAGCCGUUACCCCUGUGUAAUCCGGUCGGCUACAUGUCCCCGAGGGCGUAUGCAGUAUUAACUACGCUUUCGGCAGUUAUCCCCCUUAAGGGCGUCUUCUCGCCCGGUUCGCCACUCGCCGCCAGUGGGGGUGCGGCCCUUUGCGUAAUGGCAAAAACGUCCGCUAACUGAGCGUAAUCAAACUCUCUGUUACUGCCGCAAAUGCUCGGAUAAUACAU
RNAcentral lists this ribosomal RNA (2768 nucleotides) under uncultured Bordetella sp. Its description in RNAcentral is "partial 16S-23S ribosomal RNA intergenic spacer". The stretch from base 1 to 1507 matches the Rfam family "Bacterial small subunit ribosomal RNA". Lineage: Bacteria; Pseudomonadati; Pseudomonadota; Betaproteobacteria; Burkholderiales; Alcaligenaceae. The record is from RNAcentral.